CAGGUGAUGGGGAAGUCGUCUCCUAACAAUAACUGUUACUCGUGCAAGCUCUGAGGAAAAGAGGACAUGUCGUUGCGGUUACUGGAGAUGGAACUGGCGAUGCCCCUGCUUUACAUGAGGCGGAUAUCGGUCUUGCUAUGGGUACUCAAGGCACUGAAGUAGCAGAAGAGAGUAGUGACAUCAUCAUAUUGGACGAUAACUUUGCUUCGGUUGUUAGGGAGGUUGAAAAGAGGUGAACAGCUGGGUUGAAAAGAGGGAAUAGUGGUCAACAAUGGUCAGAAGGGUGAAAAGAGGGAACAACUGUCCGAACUCAGCUUGGUUGAAAAGAGGGAACAAUGGUUAACAGUGGUCAGUAUGCUGAAAAGAGGUGAACUGUGGUCAGAAUUCAGCAGUCUGCUGAAAAAAGGUGAACAGUGGUCAGAAUUCAGUCUGUACAUCUACUUUUUUUUUUUCAACUUACAGCUUUUUUUUGGUCAACUUACAGCUGGGUUGGGUUAAAAAGUAGAUGUUUACUUUUUUGACAUUAUAUAUUCAGGUUUAAAAAGUAGAUGUCAAAAGUACAACUACUUUUGACAUUAUAUAUAGUAAAUUUAAGCUUCAUAAACUUCAUCCAACUUUCUACAAACACUACACACCCACCUUCACCUUCAGUUUGCUGCUACAUGGAAUUAACAACAUUUAGAAAAUCAAUUCAACCGUCUAAUUAAUACUAUUUUCAUCUGGGUCUUCCAUUGUUUCUCACCUCUAUACAUUUGAUUCUUGCAUUAUUUCUCUAUUUUUAACAUCUUGGUUCUGCGUUGUGGUAAGUAUUUCUCACAUUUCGACUGUUUAUUUUGUAUGUGUGUUGUACUCUUACAUAGUGAUAACAAUGUUUGAUACACCGAUUGUAAAAAUCUUACACUAUUUUAGUUGUU
This is a long non-coding RNA of Helianthus annuus (common sunflower), 914 nucleotides long. RefSeq lists it as uncharacterized. The record is from RefSeq and is a predicted model, not a curated record. The transcript is spliced from 3 exons. Lineage: Eukaryota; Viridiplantae; Streptophyta; Magnoliopsida; Asterales; Asteraceae.